GGGGCAUUAGCUCAGCUGGGAGAGCGUCGCGUUCGCAACGCGAAGGUCGGGGGUUCGAACCCCCUAUGCUCCA
This 73-nucleotide transfer RNA is filed under the name Thermoclostridium caenicola. Its description in RNAcentral is "Clostridium caenicola tRNA". It matches the Rfam family "tRNA". Rfam says of the family: Transfer RNA (tRNA) molecules are approximately 80 nucleotides in length. Their secondary structure includes four short double-helical elements and three loops (D, anti-codon, and T loops). Lineage: Bacteria; Bacillati; Bacillota; Clostridia; Eubacteriales; Oscillospiraceae. The record is from Rfam by way of RNAcentral.